ACCAGAGUACUAUGAAUGUUAAAAAUUUAAAACUCAAAGAACUUGGCGGUGUUUUAGACCACUUAGGGGAACCUGUCUCGUAAUCGAUAGUCCACGUUGUAUCUGACCUUUUUUUGUUUUCAGUUUGUAUACCGUUGUCGUCAGGUAACUUUUUAGAGAUUAGAAGUUAGCAAUGGAAAUGUGAUAAUUUAGUACGUCAAAUCAAGGUGCAGCUAAUAAGAAGGGGAGGAUGGGUUACAGUUAUGUGAUUUAUAAUACGGAAAAAUGCAUGAAAUGGCAUUAAUUUAAGGCGGACUUGAAAGUAAAUUAGAUUAUAUGAAUAAUUUGAAUGAGGCUCUGAAACGUGU
This 347-nucleotide ribosomal RNA is filed under the name Myurellopsis columellaris. RNAcentral describes it as "partial 12S ribosomal RNA". The record is from RNAcentral. Lineage: Eukaryota; Metazoa; Mollusca; Gastropoda; Neogastropoda; Terebridae.